AGGAUGAGUAGCAUCUGCUCAUUGCUCUGCAUAAAGUACAGGAGAUUCUUCCAGACUGCACAUUUGUAUAUUGAAGACAGGAACUCCCCCAGAGUGAUCCACAAUGACAGUUUCCCCAUCCUGUCUACAGCGGAUGACCUGGAGGCUGUUUCAGUCAGGCAGUUCAUCAAACACAUCAUGGAGCAGUACUCCAACAACCAACAUGGCUUUUCUCAGGAGUUCGAUGAGGUUCAACACUGCACAUCUGAAAUGAAGAUUACAGCAGAACGUUCAAACCAACCAGACAACAAGCACAAAAACAGAUACAUCAACAUUGUUGCCUAUGACCACAGCAGAGUGAAGUUGCAGCAACUGUCUGGGAAAGACUCCAAGCACAGUGAUUACAUCAAUGCCAACUAUGUAGACGGUUAUAAAAGACCCAGGGCUUAUAUAGCAGCUCAGGGCCCUCUGAAGUCCACAUUUGAGGACUUUUGGAGAAUGAUUUGGGAACAGAACACCACUGUGAUUGUCAUGAUCACCAACUUGGUGGAGAAAGGCAGGAGAAAAUGCGAUCAGUAUUGGCCAUCAGAGAACAGCGAGGUUUAUGGGAACAUAAUGGUGACUCUGAAGAGCACUAAAGUUUAUGCUUACUACACACUCCGCCAUUUCAUCAUGCGCAACACCAAACUGAAAAAGGGUCAGAAGGGAAGGCAUAACGAACGGCUGGUUGUCCAGUACCAUUACACACAGUGGCCAGACAUGGGCGUACCCGAGUAUACACUACCAGUCCUCAAAUUCAUCUCUCGAUCUUCAGCAGCCCGUACGCCAGGCACAGGCCCUGUUCUAGUUCACUGCAGUGCUGGAGUUGGCAGAACAGGCACAUACAUAGUCAUAGACAGCAUGCUGCAGCAGAUAAAGGACAACGGCACUGUCAACGUCCUAGGAUACCUCAAGCACAUCCGAGCUCAGCGCAACUACUUGGUCCAGACUGAGGAGCAGUUUAUCUUUAUCCAUGAUGCAUUAAUGGAAGCUGUGCUUGGCAAAGACACCGAGGUGCCUGUCUGGCAACUCCAUAGUUAUGUCAACAGCAUUCUCACCUCGAGCCCCACAGGACAAACACGCAUGGACAAACAAUUUAAGUUGUUGACGCAAUGCAAUUCUCACCUCACUGAGUGUUUCAGUGCCCAGAAAGACUGCAACAAAGAGAAGAACCGCACCUCGUCGGUCUUGCCAAUGGAACGGGCUCGGGUGGCACUAGCUCCCCUCCCAGGAGUAAAAGGAACCGACUACAUCAAUGCCGCCUACAUUAUGGGCUAUUACAGGAGCAACGAGUUCAUCAUUACCCAGCAUCCUCUGCCCCACACAACCACAGACUUCUGGAGGAUGAUCUGGGAUCAUAAUGCUCAAGUUAUUGUGAUGUUGCCAGACAACCUCGGCCUUACUGAGGAUGAAUUUGUGUACUGGCCCAGCAGAGAGGAGCCCAUGAACUGCGUAGCUUUCACUGUCACCCUCAUUAAUACUGACAGACUCUGCUUAUCUAAUGAGGAGCAACUCAUCAUCCACGACUUCAUCCUAGAAGCCACACAGGAUGACUAUGUGCUAGAAGUCCGACAUUUUCAAUGUCCAAACUGGCCAGAUCCUGAUGCAUCCAUCAGCAGCACAUUUGAGCUCAUCAACAUCAUCAAAGAAGAGGCUAUGGCAAGGGAUGGUCCCACCAUCGUGCAUGAUGAGUUUGGCGCCAUCUCUGCCGGGAUGUUCUGUGCUCUGACCACACUUUCCCAACAACUGGAGAACGAGAGUGCUGUGGAUGUCUAUCAAGUGGCCAAAAUGAUUAACCUCAUGAGGCCUGGCGUCUUCACUGAAAUUGAGCACUAUCACAACCUUUACAAGGCUAUGCUCAGCCUUGUCAGCAGUAAAGACUUCAGACUUGGCUUCAACUACAUGGACAAAAUUGCUGGGAUAGUGGUAACAGAUGAAUCCAACCAGGCUGAGAGCAUGGAGUCCUUGGUGUGAAGUUUUCGGGAAAAUGAGAUGGAACAAAGUGGUUCCUUGAACUUUCCAUGAGGCCUUUUUUCCCAGACUCUUGGUGAAAUAAAAAAGAAAAAAACAACA
Sinocyclocheilus grahami is the source of this 2091-nucleotide long non-coding RNA. Ensembl annotates it as receptor-type tyrosine-protein phosphatase gamma-like. Lineage: Eukaryota; Metazoa; Chordata; Actinopteri; Cypriniformes; Cyprinidae. The record is from Ensembl.